CCUACGGGGGGCAGCAGUGGGGAAUAUUGGUCAAUGGGCGCAAGCCUGACCCAGCAACGCAGCGUGAAGGAUGAAGGCUUUCGGGUUUUAAACUUCUUUUGUCAUGGACGUAGCAAGUGACGGUACCUGACGAAUAAGCCACGGCUAACUACGUGCCAGCCGCCGCGGUAAUACGUAGGUGGCAAGCGUUAUCCGGAUUUAUUGGGUGUAAAGGGAGUGUAGGCGGGAAUGCAAGUCAGAUGUGAAAACUAGGGGCUCAACCCAUAGACUGCAUUUGAAACUGUAGUUCUUGAGUGCUGAAGAGGCUAUCGGAAUUCCGGGUGUAGCGGUGAAAUGCGUAGAUAUACGGAGGAACAUCAGUGGCGAAGGCGACUAUCUGGCACAUAACUGACGCUGAGGAGCGAAAGCGUGGGUAGCAAACAGGAUUAGAGACCCUAGUAGUC
This 443-nucleotide ribosomal RNA is filed under the name uncultured bacterium. RNAcentral describes it as "partial 16S ribosomal RNA". It matches the Rfam family "Bacterial small subunit ribosomal RNA", at positions 338 to 795 of the family's 1533-position model. The record is from RNAcentral.